GAUGAACGCUGGCGGCGUGCCUAAUACAUGCAAGUCGAGCGAACAGAUAAGGAGCUUGCUCCUUUGACGUUAGCGGCGGACGGGUGAGUAACACGUGGGUAACCUACCUAUAAGACUGGAAUAACUCCGGGAAACCGGGGCUAAUGCCGGAUAACAUUUAGAACCGCAUGGUUCUAAGUGAAAGAUGGUUUUGCUAUCACUUAUAGAUGGACCCGCGCCGUAUUAGCUAGUUGGUAAGGUAACGGCUUACCAAGGCAACGAUACGUAGCCGACCUGAGAGGGUGAUCGGCCACACUGGAACUGAGACACGGUCCAGACUCCUACGGGAGGCAGCAGUAGGGAAUCUUCCGCAAUGGGCGAAAGCCUGACGGAGCAACGCCGCGUGAGUGAUGAAGGUCUUCGGAUCGUAAAACUCUGUUAUUAGGGAAGAACAAAUGUGUAAGUAACUGUGCACGUCUUGACGGUACCUAAUCAGAAAGCCACGGCUAACUACGUG
Molecule: ribosomal RNA, 496 nt
Filed under: uncultured bacterium
Lineage: Bacteria
Description: partial 16S ribosomal RNA
Rfam family: Bacterial small subunit ribosomal RNA
Source: RNAcentral